GGCUGAUCCGAGGCAGUGAUGUUUACAACUGAUUGAUCAUAACCAGUUACAGAUUCCUUUGUUCCUUCUCCACUCCCACUGCUUCACUUGACUAGCCUUUA
RNAcentral lists this Y RNA (101 nucleotides) under Piliocolobus tephrosceles (Ugandan red Colobus). RNAcentral's name for it is "Y RNA (ENSPTEG00000008851.1)". It matches the Rfam family "Y RNA". Rfam says of the family: Y RNAs are components of the Ro ribonucleoprotein particle (Ro RNP), in association with Ro60 and La proteins. The Y RNAs and Ro60 and La proteins are well conserved, but the function of the Ro RNP is not known. Lineage: Eukaryota; Metazoa; Chordata; Mammalia; Primates; Cercopithecidae. The record is from Rfam by way of RNAcentral.